RNAcentral lists this ribosomal RNA (468 nucleotides) under uncultured bacterium. Its description in RNAcentral is "partial 16S ribosomal RNA". It matches the Rfam family "Bacterial small subunit ribosomal RNA", at positions 28 to 507 of the family's 1533-position model. The record is from RNAcentral.
GACGAACGCUGGCGGCGUGCUUAACACAUGCAAGUCGAACGGAAAGGCCCUGCUUUUGUGGGGUGCUCGAUUGGCGAACGGGUGAGUAACACGUGAGUAUACUGCCCUUGACUUUGUGAUAACUUUAGGAAACUGGGGCUAAUACACGCUAGGAGCUCCUGCUGCAUGUUGUGGGUUGGAAAGUUUCGGCGGUUGGGGAUGGACUCGCGGCUUAUCAGCUUGUUGGUGGGGUAGUGGCUUACCAAGGCUUUGACGGGUAGCCGGCCUGAGAGGGUGACCGGCCACAUUGGGACUGAGAUACGGCCCAGACUCCUACGGGAGGCAGCAGUGGGGAAUAUUGCACAAUGGGCGGAAGCCUGAUGCAGCAACGCCGCGUGCGGGAUGACGGCCUUCGGGUUGUAAACCGCUUUCGCCUGUGACGAAGCGUGAGUGACGGUAAUGGGUAAAGAAGCACCGGCUAACUACGUG